CCUGCCGGCGACCGGCGCACGGGUGAGUAACACGUAUGCGACCUGCCCCCCGCAGGGGGAUAACCGGGAGAAAUCCGACUAAUACCGCGUAACGCCGCGGACCUGCAUGGGUCUGCGGCCAAAGGAAGCGAUUCCGGCGGGGGAUGGGCAUGCGGCGCAUUAGCUAGUCGGCGGGGUAACGGCCCACCGAGGCGACGAUGCGUAGGGGUUCUGAGAGGAAGGUCCCCCACACUGGUACUGAGACACGGACCAGACUCCUACGGGAGGCAGCAG
This 273-nucleotide ribosomal RNA is filed under the name uncultured bacterium. RNAcentral's name for it is "partial 16S ribosomal RNA". It matches the Rfam family "Bacterial small subunit ribosomal RNA", at positions 84 to 354 of the family's 1533-position model. The record is from RNAcentral.